UGCAAACUAUGGCAUGUUUCAAUACUGUCUUUCCUGUUUUAAUAGCGAUACUUCAGUUUUUUUUUUUUUAUUACUAACUUUAGGAAAUGAAUGAAAGUGGAGUCCUUUAUCUUUUUUUAUAUUAUUACAUUGAAGAACACAGUUGUUUUACGGCAUUAUUACAUCUCUAUAAUGAUAGCUGGCUUCUAAGCCUAACUAAUACCAAACACGGAGGUGCUGCCUCAUACAGUGUAGAUGGUCUAUUGCAAAACUCAAAAAAUACAGCUCAGUAUAAUGGAAUCGGGUCAUUGAUAUGCAUUUCCAAAGGCCCGUGUUGUCUGUCUGCAUUUCUGAUUAUCUGAUGUGACGAAACUUUGCGCGUUUUGACAUUUUGAUUGUGUUUCUUAUCUCGCUAUUUUAAUAAUGCUUCUGUGCCAACUUAAAAUAAUGAAAAUUUUCCUGAUAUUUACUAGUGGAUAUACAUUUUAAUAAAAAUAAGGAUAAAAAUUCCACGAAUUAAAUCUUAAAAGAAAAACCGUAUGAGGAAAUUU
This 530-nucleotide long non-coding RNA is filed under the name Androctonus crassicauda. Lineage: Eukaryota; Metazoa; Arthropoda; Arachnida; Scorpiones; Buthidae. The record is from RNAcentral.